RNAcentral lists this ribosomal RNA (492 nucleotides) under uncultured bacterium. RNAcentral describes it as "partial 16S ribosomal RNA". It matches the Rfam family "Bacterial small subunit ribosomal RNA", at positions 29 to 507 of the family's 1533-position model. The record is from RNAcentral.
AGUGAACGCUGGCGGUAGGCCUAACACAUGCAAGUCGAACGGCAGCACAGUAAGAGCUUGCUCUUACGGGUGGCGAGUGGCGGACGGGUGAGGAAUACAUCGGAAUCUACUUUUUCGUGGGGGAUAACGUAGGGAAACUUACGCUAAUACCGCAUACGACCUACGGGUGAAAGCAGGGGAUCUUCGGACCUUGCGCGAUUGAAUGAGCCGAUGUCGGAUUAGCUAGUUGGCGGGGUAAAGGCCCACCAAGGCGACGAUCCGUAGCUGGUCUGAGAGGAUGAUCGGCCACACGGGAACGGAGACAGGGUCCAGAGUCCUACGGGAGGGAGCAGACGGGAAUAUUGGACAACGGGCGCAAGCCUGAUACAGCCAUACCGCGUGGGUGAAGAAGGCCUUCGGGUUGUAAAGCCCUUUUGUUGGGAGAGAAAAGCAGCGGGUUAAUACCCCGCUGUUCUGACGGUAACCAAAGAAUAAGCACCGGCUAACUUCGUG